Oncorhynchus keta (chum salmon) is the source of this 2577-nucleotide long non-coding RNA. RefSeq lists it as uncharacterized. NCBI's taxonomy places the organism in Eukaryota, Metazoa, Chordata, Actinopteri, Salmoniformes, Salmonidae. The transcript is spliced from 3 exons. The record is from RefSeq and is a predicted model, not a curated record.
AGUGAUGUCCUCUUACCGGUCAGGUGGGAAGUAACAGUGAUGUCCUCUUACCUGUCAGGUGGGAAGUAACAGUGAUGUCCUCUUACCCGUCAGGUGGGAAGUAACAGUGAUGUCCACUUACCGGUCAGGUGGGAAGUAGCAGUGAUCUCCUCUUACCGGUCAGGUGGGAAGUAGCAGUGCCAACACUGCCAAGUGGCUGGCUUGUCCUCUACUGACUCCAAUGUCCUCUCCAAACACCUCCACCACCUCCACUCCCACUGUCUGCACGCCAGCUCCCUCUGACCACAGAUAGACCAUACAUUAACAACACAACAGGGUCAAUACACGGUCACACCAAACAUAACCUUGUCCAGGUUAUCGUGCACAACACAUGUAAGCCUGGGAUAUCAAUCACUCAAAGUUGGCCUUACUGGGAGUGACCAUAGAUAUCUAUGGGACUUACUGAGUAAAGUAUUUGUCAUCAAUAAAUUUUUGCCAAUCACACAACUGCGAGGCGUGCCUCUGUGCUUGUGGGGUGCUAGCGUACAGGGGAGCGUUAGGGGGAAGGUGUUGUGGGAGAUGAUUGUUUGGUAGAUUAAGCCAUUUCAUGUUUUGAUGGAUUUAAUGAAUUGAUAUGUGUUGGGAGUAUACAUUAUAAUAUACCUAGGAAAUCACGGCAGCAAAGUUAUCCAAACCAUAUCAUUACUUUCAUUUAUAACUUUGUUAAUGCGAGUGUUGCGAAAUGCUUGUGCUUCUAGUUCCGGCAAUGUGGUAAUAUCCAACGAGUAAUCUAACCUAACAAUUCCAAAACUACUACCUUAUACACACAAGUGUAAAGGAAUGACUAAGAAUAUGUACCUAAAAAAAUAUCUGAAUGAGUGAUGGUAUAGAACGGCAUAGGCAAGAUGCAGUAGAUGGUAUAGAGUACAGUAUAUACAUAUGAGAUGAGUAAUGUAGGAUAUGUAAACAUUAUAUGAAGUGGCAUUGUUUAAAGUCCCACUGUGACGAUUACAGCGUAUCCAAACCAAAAACUGUGGAUAGAGCAAAACUUAAAGCGCGAACCACCACAUUUAACCAUGGAAAUGUGACUGGGAACAUGGAUGAGCACAAAUAGUCCAGCUAUGCUCUCCGUAAAGCAAUCAAACAGGCAAAAUGUCAGUGCAGAGACAAAGUGGAGUCGCAAUUCAAUGAUUCAGACACGAGACACAUGUGGCAGGGAUUCCAGACAAUCACAUAUUGUAAAGGGAACAUCAGCCUUGCACCCAGACAAGCUAAACACCUUCUUCACCUGCUUCAUGGGAAACACAGUCACGACGACUGUGAGCUCUCAUUCUCCGUGGCCGACAUGAGUAAGACAUUUAAGCAUGUCAACCCUCGCAAGGCUGCCAGCCCAGACGGCAUCCCUAGCCUCGUCCUCAGAGCAUGUACAGACCAGCUGGUUGGAGUGUUUAUGGGCAUAUUCAAUCUCUCCCUAUCCCAAUCUGUUGUGUCCACUUGCUUCAAAAUGUCCACCAUUGUUCCUGUACCCAGAAAGCAAAGGUAACUUAACUAAAUGACUAUCGCCCCGUAGCACUCCCUUCUGUCAUUAUGAAGUGCUUUGAGAGGCUAGUUAAGGGUCAUAUCACCUCUACCUUACCUUACCUGACACCCUAGACCCACUACAAUUUGCAUACCGCCACAACAGAUGCAGGGAUGACGCAAUCACCAUAGCACUGCACACUGCCCUAUCCCAUCUGGACAAGAGGAAUACUUAUGUAAGAAAGUUGUUCAUCGACUACAGCUCAGCCUUCAACACCAUAUAGUGCCCUCCAAGCUCAUCACUAAGCUCGAGGCCCUGGGUCUGAACCCCACUCUGUGCAACUGGGUCCUAGACUUCCUGAAGGAUCGACCCCAGGUGGUGAAGGUAGGCAACAACACCUGAUUCUCGACACAGGUGUUUGCUCAGCCCACCUUAGAAACUGCUGACUUAUGUACAUAGUCAUUGAACACUGGUCACUUCAAUAAUGUUUACAUAAUGUUGUACCCACUUCAUAUGUAUACUGAACAAAAAUAGAACUGCAACAUAUAAAGACUUCAUCCUAUAUUCCAUGAGCUGAGGAGUAUUUCUGUCUGUAAUAAAGCCCUUUUUGUGGGGGAAAUUAAUUCUGAUUGGCUCGGCCUGGCUCCCCAAUUGGUGAGUCUGGCUCCCAAGUGGGUGGGCCUAUGCUCUGCCACUGCGCCCCCUUGCCCAGUCAUCUGAAAUCCAUACAUUAGGGCCUAAUGAAUUUAUUUCAAUUGACCGAUUUCCUUAUAUAAACUAUAACUCAGCAAAAUCGUUGAAAUUGUUGCAUGUUGCGUUUAUAUUUUUGUUCAGUAUAUAUACUGUAUUCUAGUCAAGGCUCAUCCUAUACAUUAUAUAGUAACUACUGCUGUACACACCUUGUCUAUUCGUAUACUGUCCAUAAUGUCUAUACCCACCAUCAUAUAAAUACUGUAUAGAUUUAUAUUCUGGACUCUGACAUUGCUCGUUCUAAUAUUUCUAAAUUCCUUGAUUUUUGGGAUUUGCCUGUUAGGUUUUACUGCACUGUUGGAGCUAGGAAAAUAUGUUACGUGAACAAU